RNAcentral lists this ribosomal RNA (494 nucleotides) under uncultured bacterium. RNAcentral describes it as "partial 16S ribosomal RNA". It matches the Rfam family "Bacterial small subunit ribosomal RNA", at positions 28 to 507 of the family's 1533-position model. The record is from RNAcentral.
GACGAACGCUGGCGGCGUGCUUAACACAUGCAAGUCGAACGGAAAGGCCUGCUUUCCCUUGUGGAUUGCGGGUACUCGAGUGGCGAACGGGUGAGUAACACGUGAGUGAUCUGCCCCCAACUUGGGUAUAAGCCUGGGAAACUGGGUCUAAUUCCCGAUAGGACUGCAGGGUGGUGCCUGUGGUGGAAAACGAUUUUCUAGUGGUUGGGGAUGAGCUCGCGGCCUAUCAGCUUGUUGGUGGGGUAAUGGCCUACCAAGGCGGCGACGGGUAGCCGGCCUGAGAGGGUGGACGGCCACAGUGGGGCUGAGAUACGGCCCAGACUCCUACGGGAGGCAGCAGUGGGGAAUAUUGCACAAUGGGCGGAAGCCUGAUGCAGCGACGCCGCGUGGGGGAUGACGGCCUUCGGGUUGUAAACUCCUUUCGACCGCGAGGAAGCCACCUGGUUGGAAGGGUGGUGACGGUAGUGGUAGAAGAAGCACCGGCUAACUACGUG